AAUACUUCUGUUAGGUAAUCGGGACAGCCUAACUUUAAUGUAGGGAAAACCUAUCUGCAUUCAUGGAUUCUCGGGUAUUGGCCAUAGCUUAUUUCAAGAUUCAAGAUAUACUUUCAAGAAUUGAAAGACAAGAUUCCACACGUUCGUAAAGGUGGUGGCUGAAUUAUAGGUACCAUCCGACCCUUUAAGGCUGAAUACUUUCAGAAGUUAAGACAACCACUGCUGCAAGAAAUUCGAAAAGGAAGAGUAUUUGCUACUCUUGAGGAACCAGAGAGGCUGGUCAGCUCCAAACAGACACUUGGAAAUUCCACAAGUGAAAAUGUUCAAUUUUUAGCAAAGCUUAAGUUUGAUGAAUGUGGAAGAUUAUGCUUGCAUCAUCUGGCUGAAACACGUCCUCCUCCUCCUCAUCACCAUUUCAUCCAGUUCAGUGAACUCAUGCAACUGGUCAACACCUCUUCACGUCUUGCAUUUAUAGAACUUGGAGCAAGAGGGAGAACUCUUGGAAGACUCUGGAUCCGCCUUUUCCCCAACACAAUCAAGGGUCAGCAAUUUGCUCUCCUCUGUACUGGUGAGAGGGGACCUUGCUAUGCUGGAACAAAAGUCUUUGCUGUUGCAAACAAAGGACACAACAUGGAAGAAUCUGUAUGCUUUGGUGACUAUGAAUGGAACAGUGGAUCUGGUGGAAAAGCAGUGUUGGAUGACAUUGACUGGGAGCAGGAGGUUGUGAAAGCUAUCUAUGAUCGAACAUGGGAAGCUGGAAUAGUGUCAUGUUCUGAGCCAGAGCACAGAGCUGCUCAGUUUGCCAUUACCACCCGGGACUGGUGUGAAACAGAAUGUAUUGGUGGGUUUGGUAAGGUUGAAAGUGGCCUCAGUGUUUUGACUGAUGCUAUUGCUGAGUUUGCAGACAUAAGAGAAUGCUUCAUACAGGAUUGUGGUAUUGCAUUGUUAACUUGAUUAAAGGUCUUCACCAUUCCUUUGAUGUAGUCUGUACAAGAAAUGUCCCUUCCUUUUACACAUUUAAACAUUGUACUUUGUUACUGUAAAUUGAAGAGCUAGUCAACAAGACGUAUUUUAUCUUUUUGAACAGUGCGCAAGAGGAUUCCAAUUUUAAAGAUAUUUAUAUUGUUCAUCAAAAUUUAAUUUUAAUACAUUUUUAGACUUAAGAUAUUGUACGUCAGAAAUAAUUUCUAAUGUUAAAUAUAAACUUAUUUUUAAGCUAAUUUAUCUACUCCAUUUACACAGCUGUUGUUCCAAGACUAAUAACUUAUGACCUACCACAGUUAGGAUGUAUGCCAGUAGUAUUAAUAUAUUAUUGCUGAAGACAUUCAAGUAAAAUCGACGACAGUUUUACUGAGUGGAAUGGAUAAUAGUGAUUGCUGAAAAGGUUACAUUAAACCUUCCAGUUGCAGUCAUAAGCACUGUUUCAAAGUUUUUCUUCUACAAUAUUUUAAUUACCUUUAAUCAUUUGAUAUCUGUAAUUAAUGUAAGUUCUGUAAUCUUGAUUUUCUCAGUUUUCCUGCAAAAAUGUAUGGCUACAUUUACAUACUUUCAUGUAGUUGAAAUUGAAAACUUGUUACUGAAUCAAAAGAAUUCAUUGUAAAACAAACCAAGGUGUCAACUAUAGUAAACUAGAUGUGGUGUUACCAUUUUGUUUAUGCCAUAGAUAUAGAGGGGAGAAAUUUGACAGACAAGCGAUGAUCGCUUGCACAUAAGGCACUUUUGUUGUGCAAUGAUUUUCAGAAAUGGCAGCUGCAUUGACUGCAUAGACCAGCGGCAAAAAAGCCACUUAUAGCACCCAGUACUGGGCUAUCAACUCUGUCACUUAAAGAAACAAGAUUACCAAAGAUCAGGGGAUCACAUUUCACAAGUAUGAGAUCUAUUUUCAUUCAUCUGAUGGAUCACAGUCAACUUGCAGUCAAUUACAUGCCGGCUUUUAUAUCAUAUAAACUAAUGAAUGUUGUAAUAAGCCUAGCCUAGUAAAUUAACAAGUGUUACCGUCAGUUCAUAUAAGCAUGGUCAACCCUGACAGUUUUUCCUACUACUGGUAUAACAAUGUAUGCGCAGUAUCAUUAGGCCUAGAUCCAGGCAUGCUGCAGUUUAAGUGUUAAUGACGUGUUAUACUGUUACUUAUGUGUUUUCAAUAAGAUCUCAAACCUAGUAUGGAGAGGACUCGGCUGAAUUUGAUCUGCCAGAUCACUUAAUAGGUAGUGUUCUUCAAUUUUACCAUUAUCAGUUUCACCCAAAAGGAUACUUCGAAUUCAUACUACAUUAUAGUUUUAAAAGUAAAUUUUACCAACUAGCUAGUCUACCAGGGUUGAUCUUCAUAUAACCAAGGCUAACCUACCAUAGGCUAACCUUAGCUUAGCAAAGGUACCCUAACUUGCCAUAACCUUCAGGAAUGCUGAUUUUCUGUCUGUCCCCCUCCACAGAUUAUGAAAUACAACUCAAGUCUUGGUUAGCUAUAGAAGCCCAAGUUAAUCUUACAGACUAGCCUAACUUAGACUGUACUACAUUGUAAAUAAGCAUGUUGACUUACAGGUCAGUAUGAUUGUGACAUGUUACAUAACUUUAUACUUGGUUACUAUAUAUCUGCAGACUACAGCACAUAGUAAUUAGUAUAUGAAUAUUUUGUCAUGUUAUUUCUCUAACAAUAUUCACGUGCCUCUGUAUUAGGUUCCUUAUUAACUUGUGUUUUAUUUUUUCAAGAUAUCUUCGUAAUGGAGCCCCUCUCUUUCAUAAUAAAAGCCCUUUCAGAAUUAUUUGAUAUAAAUAUAUAUAUAUAUAUAAUUUUUAAAACAUCUGGAUUGCACUGAUGCACCUCUCAAAAUAGAUAUUACAUGAUUAGUGUCACAAACGGAGACUGAGUAUUUUCAGAAUAUCAUUGAUCAAUGACACCAAAUUUGACAAUGUAACUCAUUGAAAGUUACAUAUAUUCCUUGAUUUUCUUAACAUUAUAUACCAGUAAAAAUUAA
RNA transcript from Macrobrachium nipponense, 2972 nucleotides. RefSeq lists it as uncharacterized. The record is from RefSeq and is a predicted model, not a curated record. Lineage: Eukaryota; Metazoa; Arthropoda; Malacostraca; Decapoda; Palaemonidae. The transcript is spliced from 3 exons.